CCUACGGGAGGCAGCAGUGGGGAAUAUUGCACAAUGGGGGAAACCCUGAUGCAGCGACGCCGCGUGAAGGAAGAAGUAUUUCGGUAUGUAAACUUCUAUCAGCAGGGAAGAAAAUGACGGUACCUGACUAAGAAGCUCCGGCUAACUACGUGCCAGCAGCCGCGGUAAUACGGAGGGAGCAAGCGUUAUCCGGAUUUACUGGGUGUAAAGGGAGCGUAGGCGGUGCAGCAAGUCAGAAGUGAAAGCCUGGGGCUCAACGGUGGGACUGCUAUUGAAACUGUUGAACUAGAGUGCAGGUGAGGUAAGUGGAAUUCGUAGUGUAGCGGUGAAAUGCGUAGAUAUUAGGAAGAACACCGGUGGCGAAGGCAGCUUACUGGACUGUAAAUGACGCUGAGGCUCGAAAGCGUGGGGAGCAAACAGGAUUAGAUACCCUAGUAGUC
Molecule: ribosomal RNA, 440 nt
Filed under: uncultured bacterium
Lineage: Bacteria
Description: partial 16S ribosomal RNA
Rfam family: Bacterial small subunit ribosomal RNA
Source: RNAcentral